This is a long non-coding RNA of Cloeon dipterum, 337 nucleotides long. RefSeq lists it as uncharacterized. The record is from RefSeq and is a predicted model, not a curated record. The transcript is spliced from 3 exons. Lineage: Eukaryota; Metazoa; Arthropoda; Insecta; Ephemeroptera; Baetidae.
UCGAGCUCACUCGUAUUCAACCUUCUUGCUCUUCCACACAGGAGAUCUCGGAGAACAGACUUUCUGAGACGAGCCCCCUGCAGACCAGUGCGACCGUUAAGGCGACUCCUGCGGCAAGCGGAUCUUGGAAAGAACCUAGCUUCGAGUGAGGAGGGAAUACACCUGCAUCAGUCACUCCCUAAGUGCUCGGGACCUGACAUGUGGUGCAGCCGACGACCUAGAGCAGAAGGAACAAACCUGAGCACUACACUCAGAAAGCACGCACGCGGCCUUGCAGCAGUCAGACAGAGGCACGACCGCCUUUUCCACCUGAGGACCACGACAGGAGCAGAUCAGA